RNAcentral lists this ribosomal RNA (511 nucleotides) under uncultured bacterium. RNAcentral describes it as "bacterial SSU rRNA". It matches the Rfam family "Bacterial small subunit ribosomal RNA", at positions 9 to 515 of the family's 1533-position model. The record is from RNAcentral.
GAGUUUGAUCUUGGCUCAGAUUGAACGCUGGCGGCAGGCCUAACACAUGCAAGUCGAGCGGUAGAGAGAAGCUUGCUUCUCUUGAGAGCGGCGGACGGGUGAGUAAUGCCUAGGAAUCUGUCUGGUAGUGGGGGAUAACGCUCGGAAACGGACGCUAAUACCGCAUACGUCCUACGGGAGAAAGCAGGGGACCUUCGGGCCUUGCGCUAUCAGAUGAGCCUAGGUCGGAUUAGCUAGUUGGUGAGGUAAUGGCUCACCAAGGCGACGAUCCGUAACUGGUCUGAGAGGAUGAUCAGUCACACUGGAACUGAGACACGGUCCAGACUCCUACGGGAGGCAGCAGUGGGGAAUAUUGGACAAUGGGCGAAAGCCUGAUCCAGCCAUGCCGCGUGUGUGAAGAAGGUCUUCGGAUUGUAAAGCACUUUAAGUUGGGAGGAAGGGCAGUAAAUUAAUAACUUUGCUGUUUUGACGUUACGACAGAAUAAGCACCGGCUAACUCUGUGACAGCACG